RNAcentral lists this ribosomal RNA (538 nucleotides) under Lodderomyces parapsilosis. RNAcentral's name for it is "eukaryotic LSU rRNA". It matches the Rfam family "Eukaryotic large subunit ribosomal RNA", at positions 94 to 638 of the family's 3401-position model. The record is from RNAcentral. Lineage: Eukaryota; Fungi; Ascomycota; Pichiomycetes; Serinales; Debaryomycetaceae.
UGAGCGGCAAACAGCUCAAAUUUGAAAUCUGGCACUUUCAGUGUCCGAGUUGUAAUUUGAAGAAGGUAUCUUUGGGUCUGGCUCUUGUCUAUGUUUCUUGGAACAGAACGUCACAGAGGGUGAGAAUCCCGUGCGAUGAGAUGUCCCAGACCUAUGUAAAGUUCCUUCGAAGAGUCGAGUUGUUUGGGAAUGCAGCUCUAAGUGGGUGGUAAAUUCCAUCUAAAGCUAAAUAUUGGCGAGAGACCGAUAGCGAACAAGUACAGAUGAUGGAAAGAUGAAAAGAACUUUGAAAAGAGAGUGAAAAAGUACGUGAAAUUGUUGAAAGGGAAGGGCUUGAGAUCAGACUUGGUAUUUGUAUGUUACUCUCUCGGNGGUGGCCUCUACAGUUUUACCGGGACCAGCAUCAGUUUGAGCGGUAGGAUAAAGUGCAAAGAAAUGUGGCACUGCGUUCGGUAGUGUGUUAAUAGUCUUUGUCGAUACUGCGCAGUCAUUAGACUGAGGGACUGCGGCUUCGGGCCUAGGGAUGUUGGGCAUUAAU